GGCGCUGUGGUUUAGUUGGUUAAAGCGCCUGUCUAGUAAACAGGAGAUCCUGGGUCCAAAUCCCAGCAGUGCCU
This 74-nucleotide transfer RNA is filed under the name Oryzias latipes (Japanese medaka). Its description in RNAcentral is "tRNA-Thr (AGT) (tRNA-Thr-AGT-24-1)". It matches the Rfam family "tRNA". From Rfam's summary of the family: Transfer RNA (tRNA) molecules are approximately 80 nucleotides in length. The record is from Rfam by way of RNAcentral. Lineage: Eukaryota; Metazoa; Chordata; Actinopteri; Beloniformes; Adrianichthyidae.